CCUGGUGGCCAUAGCGUCGGUGUCCCACCCGAUCCCAUCCCGAACUCGGACGUGAAACCCGACCGCGCCAAUGGUACUAUCGCUCAAGCGAUGGAAGNGAAAUCCGUGCUGGCUCCAUUG
RNAcentral lists this ribosomal RNA (120 nucleotides) under Sphingomonas sp. Leaf231. Lineage: Bacteria; Pseudomonadati; Pseudomonadota; Alphaproteobacteria; Sphingomonadales; Sphingomonadaceae. The record is from RNAcentral.